CCUACGGGUGGCAGCAGUGAGGAAUAUUGGUCGAUGGACGAGAGUCUGAACCAGCCAAGUAGCGUGAAGGAUGACUGCCCUAUGGGUUGUAAACUUCUUUUAUAUGGGAAUAAAAUGUUCCACGUGUGGGAUUUUGUAUGUACCAUAUGAAUACGGAUCGGCUAACUCCGUGCCAGCAGCCGCGGUAAUACGGAGGAUCCGAGCGUUAUCCGGAUUUAUUGGGUUUAAAGGGAGCGUAGGUGGAUUGUUAAGUCAGUUGUGAAAGUUUGCGGCUCAACCGUAACAUUGCAGUUGAAACUGGCAGUCUUGAGUACAGUAGAGGUGGGCGGAAUUCGUGGUGUAGCGGUGAAAUGCUUAGAUAUCACGAAGAACUCCGAUUGCGAAGGCAGUUCACUGGACUGCAACUGACACUGAGGCUCGAAAGUGUGGGUAUCAAACAGGAUUAGAUACCCCUGUAGUC
This 460-nucleotide ribosomal RNA is filed under the name uncultured bacterium. Its description in RNAcentral is "partial 16S ribosomal RNA". It matches the Rfam family "Bacterial small subunit ribosomal RNA", at positions 338 to 795 of the family's 1533-position model. The record is from RNAcentral.